CUUCAUUCCGUAUUCCAAGGCCAAAUUUUCCUGUUACCCCAGAUGUUUCUUGACUUCCUACUUUUGCAUUCCAGUCCCCUAUAAUGAAAUGUGGCCCCAUACCCCAUGGCUUAGUUUCAUUGAGUUAGACAAGGCUGUGGUCUGUGUGAUCAGAUUGACUAGUUUUCUGUGAUUAUGGUUUCAGUGUGUCUGACUCCUGAUGCCCUCUCACAACACCUACCAUCUCACUUGGGUUUCUCUUACGUUGGACGUGGGAUAUCUCUUCAUGGCUGCUCCAGCAAAGUGCAGCCGCUGCUCCUUACCUUGGACGAAGGGUACCUCCUCAUGGCUGCCCCUCCUGACCUUGAACGUGGAGUAGCUCCUCUCGGCCCUCUUUGUGCCCACUCUUGUUAUUGCUUUGAAGCUCAGCAAAGAAGGGAAAUCCAUUGAGAACAGUCUGUAAAGGUAAGUGUAUUUAUUACAUGGCCUUGACAAACAUUGCCUUUACAACAUUGAUUUUUCUUUUAUUCAGAGAUUUAAACACUCGGAUUAAAGAUAUAGCUGACAGGACAACUUCCUUAACCACCUGCUUGUCCUCCCUCACAGGCAAAAGUGCUGAGCAAUAGUUAGAAGGGAGAAGGAGGAAAUAAAAUGAUGUGCUGAGGGUGGCCAAAUGCAAUUGUAUGCUUGCUGACUUUUGCUUUCUUCUCAGCAGUUAAGACAUUCCAGUGGCACUAAGUUUACUAAGAUUAAUGCUAGAUGGAAAAAGAAUGCACUUGUACCACUUCUGGUCAAUAGUUAAGUAAAACCAGCUGGCUGAAUAAAGCAUUUAAGAUAAAAUGCAAAGUGGCAUUUCAAUUGGGUUGCAUGAGAUUUAUCAUGAAAGUCAGAUGUGCUGUUGUGUAGAGGAGCUAGUUUUGUCGAAAGGAGAAAGCCAGCCAGUUUGGUGUAGCUAAUUUCAUUCUUCGCAGUCACUGUGGACACUAAGUGAGUUACAGGAAAUGAACUUCCAAGUUCAAAGCAAUGGAGAAAGUACCUACUCAGCCUCCUGUGAAACAUUACAAUCGAGUUGGUUUUUACAUGGAAAAAAUGUAAUCGUUUCCUCUUUCCUAGGUAUAUUUAUAAGCAUACUUCUGUACAGC
RNAcentral lists this long non-coding RNA (1121 nucleotides) under Capra hircus (goat). Its description in RNAcentral is "lncRNA (ENSCHIG00000000739.1)". The record is from RNAcentral. Lineage: Eukaryota; Metazoa; Chordata; Mammalia; Artiodactyla; Bovidae.